Molecule: ribosomal RNA, 781 nt
Filed under: uncultured Streptococcus sp.
Lineage: Bacteria; Bacillati; Bacillota; Bacilli; Lactobacillales; Streptococcaceae
Description: bacterial SSU rRNA
Rfam family: Bacterial small subunit ribosomal RNA
Source: RNAcentral
AACGCUGAAGGAGGAGCUUGCUUCUCUGGAUGAGUUGCGAACGGGUGAGUAACGCGUAGGUAACCUGCCUGGUAGCGGGGGAUAACUAUUGGAAACGAUAGCUAAUACCGCAUAAGAGUAGAUGUUGCAUGACAUUUGCUUAAAAGGUGCAAUUGCAUCACUACCAGAUGGACCUGCGCUGUAUUAGCUAGUUGGUGGGGUAACGGCUCACCAAGGCGACGAUACAUAGCCGACCUGAGAGGGUGAUCGGCCACACUGGACUGAGACACGGCCCAGACUCCUACGGGAGGCAGCAGUAGGGAAUCUUCGGCAAUGGACGGAAGUCUGACCGAGCAACGCCGCGUGAGUGAAGAAGGUUUUCGGAUCGUGAAGCUCUGUUGUAAGAGAAGAACGAGUGUGAGAGUGGAAAGUUCACACUGUGACGGUAUCUUACCAGAAAGGGACGGCUAACUACGUGCCAGCAGCCGCGGUAAUACGUAGGUCCCGAGCGUUGUCCGGAUUUAUUGGGCGUAAAGCGAGCGCAGGCGGUUAGAUAAGUCUGAAGUUAAAGGCUGUGGCUUAACCAUAGUACGCUUUGGAAACUGUUUAACUUGAGUGCAAGAGGGGAGAGUGGAAUUCCAUGUGUAGCGGUGAAAUGCGUAGAUAUAUGGAGGAACACCGGUGGCGAAAGCGGCUCUCUGGCUUGUAACUGACGCUGAGGCUCGAAAGCGUGGGGAGCAAACAGGAUUAGAUACCCUGGUAGUCCACGCCGUAAACGAUGAGUGCUAGGUGUUAGACCCUU